UUGAGUUUUCUUGUAUUUACUUAUUUUACUUUUAUUUUCCCCAUCAUUUUGGGUUUUUACCACCUUAUUCUUUUACCCCAAAUUUAUCUGCCCAAAGCUGAGCCUUCUCCUUCACACGCAAAACUCAGCUUUUCCUCUUUCCUUGUUCACGUCAGAGUUGGACAGAGAGAAAGGGAGCCUCGUUCAGCUCUUCCCCUCCACGUUUCCAUCAUGCAAAGGGCAACUCCUCCAAGAACAUCAUCUCAGACCUUCAAAAGAGAGAACCCAGGCCAUAAAUCGUCAUUCACCCUUCUCUUCUCACCUUUCCUCUCGUCCCUGGACACAUCAGUCCGUUUACGAGCCUCGAAACACCUAGUUCGAGAUCUCCGAUCAGAAAACGUUCUUCAUCAAAGUUGUUCGCCUAUGUCUCCUCUAUCUAGCCUCCAAAUUUCAGCUCCAUCGGAAUUGAUUUGAGACCUGUACACCCCUCGAAGCGGAAGCUGUUCCGGAGCAAGCCUGUUCCGGAUUUCUGCUUAAACUUCCUCUCUUGCUCUACCCGAAUCCCCAACACCUUGCUUGAGACUGAUACCAACAGUUGUCUCUGUUUCACUUUGCAUGUUCGAGACUGAGCAAACUUCUUGGCCUGUGACUGGACUCGAUCCAAUCAGCUCCUUCAGCUCUCUUUCCUGUUGAAAUCCUCAAGAGAAGCUCAUCUUUUUUUUGUUAGUUUUUGGCUUGAUAUCUUGGUAGGAUCUUGUGAAGUGGUGGUUGCUACAAGGUUGCAUUGAGGCCAAGUGCUGCAAGAGAAAGCUCGAGUUCCAGGAGAGGUCAGUUCCUCCUUGAGCCACCGGUGGUGGGCAGUGUGCACCAUGCCCUUGUUAUCUCCCCUUUGUCUCUAGCCUUGUGAUUAAUGAAUUCCGGAAAGUGAUUGGCUAGAUGGACGGUUGUGAUGGAAGUGUGAAAGAUGAUCAAUUGCCGUGGGAUUGUAGUUACGUGGUGACGAUCACGUGGAAGCGCAAACCGGUUUUAUCUACUUCUUUUAUUCAAAACAAUAACUCAUGUUUUUAAACUUAGAUAUGGGGGCGGGCAUGGGCAAUGACUGGAUGUAGGGGAUGCCUUUAACUCUAUCUAUGCUUUUCUUGCAUAUACUAUGUUUUAUAUGAGGCCUCUUGCAUGGUUUUUGGAAAUUAUCUGUUUUACAAUUGAAAUGGUUUGCGUGGAUUGGAUUGAUGUGUUGGCAAUUGAUGGGGAUGUAAGGAGAGGUCAGUUCCUCCUUGAGCCACCGGUGGUGGGCAGUGUGCACCAUGCCCUUGUUAUCUCCCCUUUGUCUCUAGCCUUGUGAUUAAUGAAUUCCGGAAAGUGAUUGGCUAGAUGGACGGUUGUGAUGGAAGUGUGAAAGAUGAUCAAUUGCCGUGGGAUUGUAGUUACGUGGUGACGAUCACGUGGAAGCGCAAACCGGUUUUAUCUACUUCUUUUAUUCAAAACAAUAACUCAUGUUUUUAAACUUAGAUAUGGGGGCGGGCAUGGGCAAUGACUGGAUGUAGGGGAUGCCUUUAACUCUAUCUAUGCUUUUCUUGCAUAUACUAUGUUUUAUAUGAGGCCUCUUGCAUGGUUUUUGGAAAUUAUCUGUUUUACAAUUGAAAUGGUUUGCGUGGAUUGGAUUGAUGUGUUGGCAAUUGAUGGGGAUGUAAGGAGAGGUCAGUUCCUCCUUGAGCCACCGGUGGUGGGCAGUGUGCACCAUGCCCUUGUUAUCUCCCCUUUGUCUCUAGCCUUGUGAUUAAUGAAUUCCGGAAAGUGAUUGGCUAGAUGGACGGUUGUGAUGGAAGUGUGAAAGAUGAUCAAUUGCCGUGGGAUUGUAGUUACGUGGUGACGAUCACGUGGAAGCGCAAACCGGUUUUAUCUACUUCUUUUAUUCAAAACAAUAACUCAUGUUUUUAAACUUAGAUAUGGGGGCGGGCAUGGGCAAUGACUGGAUGUAGGAGCCUAACCCCUACUUUAGUUUGUUUUGCAGGCUGUUGUUGUCGAAGCUUGGGUACGGAGGAUAAUCCUUGGAGGCCACAAUUUGUUUUAUUUAAAGUUUAUUUCCUUUCGGCUUGCUUGAUUUCACUAAAGUUUUGUAACAUUAUGUAUGGUUGAUGAUGUGUGUGCUUGCUUACCACCAAAGUGGAACCCUAGGGUUAGAACCUCCAUUUGAAUUUAGGUCCUAGUGGGCUAGACCUAGAAGACUCACAUAAAUUACCAUUUAAUGAACUUAAUGCAAACUUGGGGCUAAGAACUAAAAAUUGACAUAGGUUCUAAAACUCAACUCAACACCACCUUCCUUUCCUCUUAUUCGCCUAGUUCGUAAUCUUGUGAUUACGAGCCAAGCCCACUAUACAAGCCCAAAAAUUUCGGGCUUAUAGAUUUCUUGUUUUCCAACCUAAAGGCCUUGUCUCUUUGAGGAAUUCUAGGCCCAAAACACUUACUCCAAGUGUUGCGGGUGUAGGGUUCCUUAGGGAGGCGGCGCUGUGGUA
Molecule: long non-coding RNA, 2492 nt
Organism: Rosa rugosa (rugosa rose)
Lineage: Eukaryota; Viridiplantae; Streptophyta; Magnoliopsida; Rosales; Rosaceae
Exons: 6
Source: RefSeq, a predicted model, not a curated record